RNA transcript from Musa acuminata AAA Group (dessert banana), 2011 nucleotides. It is a transcript of the gene named peroxisome biogenesis protein 19-2-like, with no coding region annotated. NCBI's taxonomy places the organism in Eukaryota, Viridiplantae, Streptophyta, Magnoliopsida, Zingiberales, Musaceae. The record is from RefSeq and is a predicted model, not a curated record. The transcript has 8 exons.
GGAAUCUCAUUCGCCGUUACCUCCGCGUCGCGGAACUCCUUGCCGGUCCAACGAAGUCUACCACAAGCAGCUGAAUUCAAGCAAAGAGGAGCUAUAUUAGGGCGCAGGCGGUGCUCGCGGCCUCGGUCCGCUGUCUCCUUCCCGCUUUCUUCUCCUCAUUUACCCGCCUCUCGCCAUGGCCGAUUCUGCCUCUGACGAUUUGGACCCGCUCCUCGAUAGCGCUUUGGACGAUUUCUCGAAGCUCGGUCUCGCUCCGGCCGCCCAGAGGAGCGAUGGUGAUGGAGACGACGGAGAGGGAAGGGCUUCGUUGCCGUCGAUGGCUUCGGCUCCGCGGGUGCAGGGAUUGGGGAUGGGAUUGCCGGACUUGGGCGGCGCGCGGAGGAAGGCCCAGCAGAGGGCCCGGCCCGGUGGGUCCCACGCCUCCGAGGCGCUCGAGAAGUUGAUGCAGCUGACGCGUGAGGCGGUGAGGGGCCUGGAGUCCGCCACGGGGGCCGCCGUCCCCAGAGGCGGCGAUGCUGGGUUUGAUGAGGACAGGAUGGUCGGCGAGUUAGUCAAGCAGUUUGAGGAGCUCGCAGGCUCGCAGGAUGUGGAAUCUAUUGUUGAAACUCUUAUGCAACAGCUUUUGUCUAAAGAAAUUCUGCAUGAGCCCAUGAGGGAAAUUGGAGAAAGAUAUCCAAAGUGGUUGGAAGAGAACAAAAAUGAUCUGAACCCGGAAGAAUAUGACCGCUAUUAUCGCCAAUAUGAGCUUAUAUUGAAGCUAAAUGAUGUUUAUGAAAAUGACCCUGAAAACUUCUCCAAGAUUGUUGAUCUCAUGCAGACUAUACAGGAAUGUGGUCAACCACCCAGUGAUAUUGUACAAGAACUUGCUCCUGAUCUUGAUCUAAGCAACUUCGGCCAAUUAUCCCCUGAUCAACUCGAUGCCACAUCCGAUUGUUGUAUAAUGUGAGAACGGAGAAGGAUGGCUACAGAUGUGAUAUGACAAAAAAUGGCAGCACAGUCGGACGAGACAGAAGCGGGUAACGGUUUAAGCUCGCCCAUACCCUGCGAUCCCCCGGUCUCCCACGCAACCCCCUGAGCGACACACUGCCCGAGGCUCUCCAUACCCUGCAGCAGCUCGGCCUCCCAUGCAACCCCAGCGGUAACAUCAAACCUCCUCUAUAAAUACCCCUGAGUCCUAAGCAAAAGGGGGGGAACUCACUCAGACACAAAACACUCAGAGGCUCUUCUUCUGCCUCAUCCACAAUCCCCUCCACAUCUUCCUCUAACUUGAUCGUCGGAGGGGUCGGGCCGAGCUCCCGGCCCGACCUGUGUGCAGGUGCGAGACGGUGUCGCCUCUUCCCGAAGCUGCGGCGGAGCUGCCUCCCGACCCGAGCCGCCGACCCGAACCGCCGACCCGACCUGCCGAACCGACCUCCCGACCCGAACCACCGAGCUUGGCCACCGGGAGACCUCGAGGAGCGCCCCCACGGAGAUCACCGCCUUCCGGACCCGAACCAAGCCGCGACGGCCCCGAGGCCACGGCUAAAAAAGUUACUUACCGUAACAUAAUGGCGCUACAAGGAGGGCCCGAAAUGACGGUGCGAGACGGUGUCGCCUCUUCCCGAAGCUGCGGCGGAGCUGCCUCCCGACCCGAGCCGCCGACCCGACCUGCCGAACCGACCUCCCGACCCGAACCACCGAGCUCGGCCACCGGGAGACCUCGAGGAGCGCCCCCACGGAGAUCACCGCCUUCCGGACCCGAACCAAGCCGCGACGACCCCGAGGCCACGGCUAAAAAAGUUACUUACCGUAACAGGAUGGCUACAAUCCCCUGAUCAACUCGAUGCCACAUCCGAUUGUUGUAUAAUGUGAGAACGGAGAAGGGCAUUUUUUUACAAUAUGACAAAUAAUUAGCUGGUUUCUUCUUCCCCUAAUAUGUUAACAAUGAGUUAUUUCUUGUCAGUUUUUUCUCUGAUUCUUUGCUGUGAAAGACGUUUAAUAGCCAAUAUAUGAAGAAUAUUGUAUUUCCAAA